AAACCUAGUGCAUACAGUAAACAUUAC
RNAcentral lists this non-coding RNA (27 nucleotides) under Bombyx mori (domestic silkworm). The record is from RNAcentral. Lineage: Eukaryota; Metazoa; Arthropoda; Insecta; Lepidoptera; Bombycidae.